UCAUUAGUCUUUUAAUUGAAGGCUUGUAUGAAAGGUUGGACGAGAGAAAAACUGUUUUCAAAUAAAAAUUUUGAAUUUAACUUCUAAGUGAAAAGGCUUAAAUGCUUCAAUAAGACGAUAAGACCCUAUAAAUCUUUACAUUAAAUUUAUUAUUUUUUUAAUUUGUUAGUUUUAAAGAAAGAGUAAUAUUGAAAUGUUAUGUUGGGGCGACAAAAAUAUAAUAAUCUCAACUGUUUUACUAAAAAACAAUAAUAAUUGAAAUGUUCCAAAGAUCCUUAUUUAAAGAUUAUAAGAUUAAGUUACUUUAGGGAUAACAGCGUUAUUCUUUUUGAGAGUUCUCAUCGAAAAAAGAGUUUGCGACCUCGAUGUUGAAUUAAAAUAUCUUUAUGGUGUAGCCGCUAUAAAAG
This 407-nucleotide ribosomal RNA is filed under the name Diogenes ovatus. RNAcentral describes it as "partial large subunit ribosomal RNA". It matches the Rfam family "Bacterial large subunit ribosomal RNA", at positions 1965 to 2570 of the family's 2925-position model. The record is from RNAcentral. Lineage: Eukaryota; Metazoa; Arthropoda; Malacostraca; Decapoda; Diogenidae.